AUACGUAGGGGGCAAGCGUUGUCCGGAAUUACUGGGCGUAAAGAGCUCGUAGGCGGCUCAGCAAGACGGUCGUGAAAGCCCGAGGCUCAACCUCGGAACUGCGGUCGAUACUGCUGUGGCUAGAGUCCGGUAGAGGAGAGUGGAAUUCCCGGUGUAGCGGUGGAAUGCGCAGAUAUCAGGAGGAACACCAGUGGCGAAGGCGGCUCUCUGGGCCGGUACUGACGCUGAGGAGCGAAAGCGUGGGGAGCAAACAGGAUUAGAAACCCCAGUAGUCC
RNAcentral lists this ribosomal RNA (275 nucleotides) under uncultured bacterium. Its description in RNAcentral is "partial 16S ribosomal RNA". It matches the Rfam family "Bacterial small subunit ribosomal RNA", at positions 523 to 796 of the family's 1533-position model. The record is from RNAcentral.